UCUUGUUAGAAAUGGCUUCAAGAGGUAGAGUAAGGUCGAAAAAGAAUUGAAAAAAUAUAAUUAGAUAGAAGAUCAUACCACCCAACCUAUAGUCGAAAUCCCAACUACACACUCAACCUUUUAAUUAGACCUAUUACCCCCCUGAUCUAUUUUUUCCUAUAUUUAUUACCCCCCUAAAUGCUGAGCUGGCAAGGAAGGUGAGAACACCCCCUCUAGGCGCGUUGGUUUAGUCCCAACACGUACAAAAUUAAAAGUUCAGCCUUCCACGUAUAUUAUACACGGCAUUUAUUGUUUAUUUAAUGAAAUAAAUAUGGAAAAUUACUCUCUCUCUUCCAACGGUCAUCUUCUUCCUCUUUAUAUGACCCAUGUCUUUCUCCACCAUUUUUCUUCAUGUUCCAACAUUCUUUUUUUCUUUCUUUUCUCUUUCUUUAACUUACUUUUUAGCUUUUAAUCCCAAUUUGUACUUCGAUUCUUGAAUUUUGUUUUGUAAUUUGGUUCAACUAUUAAUUUAGGGUUUUAUUUUGAUGAACGAUUUUGUUGGAAUUCAUGAAAUGAUAAAUUUGAAAUUGAAUAAGCUUUGUAUGGAUGAAUCAGAUCCAAUGGUCAAUGUUUUGUGAGAUACAAACAUGGUAUUUUGGUUGACUUGCAAACUUCAUGGUCGAAGUCAAAUUCGGGAAGAAGAUUUUGGUCUUGCCCCUACUAUGGGACAAAGAAAAAGUGGAUCCAAGAUCAAAUUUUAUCAUUUCAAGAUUGGUGAACAAAAUCAAUGAGUUGGAAGAAGACUUAUGUCUUAAAGAUGCCCAAAUUGAUAACUUAAUGCGGGAGAAGAAGCUCAAUGAAAGAUGGAGACGGUGUAGGUUGGAUAGAAAGAUAUUUUUAUGUAUUUUGAUUUGUGUUGCUACUAUGUUCAUCAAUAACAAAUGGACUGAAAGUAGUUGCUAGAUAUGAUCGACGAUGGUGUAAAAUUUUUACACCUCUCUAAAUAUAUCAGACUAUGUUCUAUUA
This is a long non-coding RNA of Capsicum annuum, 1005 nucleotides long. RefSeq lists it as uncharacterized. The record is from RefSeq and is a predicted model, not a curated record. Lineage: Eukaryota; Viridiplantae; Streptophyta; Magnoliopsida; Solanales; Solanaceae. The transcript is spliced from 2 exons.